GCUGGGUGUGGUGGCGCGCACCUGUAAUCCCAGGUACACGGGAGGCUGAGGCAGGAGAAUUGCUUGAACCCGGGAGGCAGAGGUUGCAAUGAGCUAAGUUUGUGCCACUGCAGUCCAGCCUGGGUGACAGAGCGAAACUCUGUCUCAA
Unclassified non-coding RNA from Pongo abelii (Sumatran orangutan), 148 nucleotides. It matches the Rfam family "Metazoan signal recognition particle RNA". From Rfam's summary of the family: The signal recognition particle (SRP) is a universally conserved ribonucleoprotein. It is involved in the co-translational targeting of proteins to membranes. The record is from Ensembl. NCBI's taxonomy places the organism in Eukaryota, Metazoa, Chordata, Mammalia, Primates, Hominidae.